AGUGAACGCUGGCGGUAGGCCUAACACAUGCAAGUCGAACGGCAGCACAGUAAGAGCUUGCUCUUACGGGUGGCGAGUGGCGGACGGGUGAGGAAUACAUCGGAAUCUACUUUUUCGUGGGGGAUGACGUAGGGAAACUUACGCUAAUACCGCAUACGACCUACGUGUGAAAUCAGGUGAUCUUCGGACCUUGCGCGAUUGAAUGACCCGAUGUCGGGUUAGCUAGUUGGGGAGGUAAAGGCCCACCAAGGCGGCGAUCCGUAGCUGGUCUGAGAGGAUGAUAAGCGACAUUGGAGCUGAGACACGGUCCAGGCGCCGACGGGAGGGAGCAGUGGGGAAUAUUGGACCAUGGGCGCGAGCCUUAUCCAGCCAUACCGCGUGGGUGAAGAAGGCCUUCGGGUUGUAAUGCCCGUUUGUUGGGAAAGAAAAGCAGCAGGUUAAUACCCCGCUGUUUUGACGGGUCCCAAAGAAAAAGGACCGGCUAAAUUCGUG
RNAcentral lists this ribosomal RNA (492 nucleotides) under uncultured bacterium. RNAcentral's name for it is "partial 16S ribosomal RNA". It matches the Rfam family "Bacterial small subunit ribosomal RNA", at positions 29 to 507 of the family's 1533-position model. The record is from RNAcentral.